UAUGGAGAGUUUGAUCCUGGCUCAGAGUGAACGCUGGCGGCGUGCCUAAUACAUGCAAGUCGAACGAUGAAGCUUUCUAGCUUGCUAGAAUGCUGAUUAGUGGCGCACGGGUGAGUAACGCAUAGGUUAUGUGCCUCUUAGUUUGGGAUAGCCAUUGGAAACGAUGAUUAAUACCAGAUACUCCCUACGGGGGAAAGAUUUAUCGCUAAGAGAUCAGCCUAUGUCCUAUCAGCUUGUUGGUAAGGUAAUGGCUUACCAAGGCUAUGACGGGUAUCCGGCCUGAGAGGGUGAACGGACACACUGGAACUGAGACACGGUCCAGACUCCUACGGGAGGCAGCAGUAGGGAAUAUUGCUCAAUGGGGGAAACCCUGAAGCAGCAACGCCGCGUGGAGGAUGAAGGUUUUAGGAUUGUAAACUCCUUUUGUUAGAGAAGAUAAUGACGGUAUCUAACGAAUAAGCACCGGCUAACUCCGUGCCAGCAGCCGCGGUAAUACGGAGGGUGCAAGCGUUACUCGGAAUCACUGGGCGUAAAGAGCGCGUAGGCGGGAUAGUCAGUCAGGUGUGAAAUCCUAUGGCUUAACCAUAGAACUGCAUUUGAAACUACUAUUCUAGAGUGUGGGAGAGGUAGGUGGAAUUCUUGGUGUAGGGGUAAAAUCCGUAGAGAUCAAGAGGAAUACUCAUUGCGAAGGCGACCUGCUGGAACAUUACUGACGCUGAUUGCGCGAAAGCGUGGGGAGCAAACAGGAUUAGAUACCCUGGUAGUCCACGCCCUAAACGAUGGAUGCUAGUUGUUGGAGGGCUUAGUCUCUCCAGUAAUGCAGCUAACGCAUUAAGCAUCCCGCCUGGGGAGUACGGUCGCAAGAUUAAAACUCAAAGGAAUAGACGGGGACCCGCACAAGCGGUGGAGCAUGUGGUUUAAUUCGAAGAUACACGAAGAACCUUACCUAGGCUUGACAUUGAGAGAAUCCGCUAGAAAUAGUGGAGUGUCUGGCUUGCCAGACCUUGAAAACAGGUGCUGCACGGCUGUCGUCAGCUCGUGUCGUGAGAUGUUGGGUUAAGUCCCGCAACGAGCGCAACCCCCUUUCUUAGUUGCUAACAGGUCAUGCUGAGAACUCUAAGGAUACUGCCUCCGUAAGGAGGAGGAAGGUGGGGACGACGUCAAGUCAUCAUGGCCCUUACGCCUAGGGCUACACACGUGCUACAAUGGGGUGCACAAAGAGAAGCAAUACUGCGAAGUGGAGCCAAUCUUCAAAACACCUCUCAGUUCGGAUUGUAGGCUGCAACUCGCCUGCAUGAAGCUGGAAUCGCUAGUAAUCGCAAAUCAGCCAUGUUGCGGUGAAUACGUUCCCGGGUCUUGUACUCACCGCCCGUCACACCAUGGGAGUUGUGUUUGCCUUAAGUCAGGAUGCUAAAUUGGCUACUGCCCACGGCACACACAGCGACUGGGGUGAAGUCGUAACAAGGUAACCGUAGGUGAACCUGCGGUUGGAUCACCUCCUU
Molecule: ribosomal RNA, 1502 nt
Filed under: Helicobacter pylori
Lineage: Bacteria; Pseudomonadati; Campylobacterota; Epsilonproteobacteria; Campylobacterales; Helicobacteraceae
Description: bacterial SSU rRNA
Rfam family: Bacterial small subunit ribosomal RNA
Source: RNAcentral